AAUUCCCUGGCAUGGAUAUCCUGCUGGCAGGUGAUUUCAACGCCAGGAUAGGAAAUGACAUUAAUACGUACUGCUCUAAAUCUCAGUUCCUGCCAGAGGCAGAUUGGUUUAUUCCCUGGUCCUCAGACGAUAAGGUCUUGAAUAAGGCAGGCAUUACAUUAAUGGAGACUGCCUUCAAACAUAAUUUGUAUAAUUUGCAUGGUACCCAUAUGGACAGGUCAGGGGGUUUCUUUUCUUUUCUUGGACCCAGAGGUGCGAGCGUUAUUGAUUAUAUCCUGGUCUCCCCAAAACUCUUGGAGAGGUCACAGGGCUUCAGGAUUUUCAAUAGAACUGAGAGUGAUCAUCUUCCUAUAUCAAUUUCACUAAUUCCCCGUGGUGUGGAGGAUCCGCAAUACCGCAAUCACUGUGCAGACCCACCUCCAACUCUGGCCCUUCGUAGGCGUAAAUGGAACAGCGACCUGGAAUCUAAAAUCAAAUUACACCUGCAUUCAUCAGACUUACUGGCCUUGAGAGACCAGUGCAUCUCAUCCAUUUCUGACCCCUUUUCAACAUUUCAGCAGGUCUCAGAGUCGCUCUUCCCACUACUCACGAAUUCCAACCCUCCCAAAAAACAAAACAACUCGAGGGCCUGGUUCGACAAAGACUGUAGGAAUCUAAGAUCUUUGCUCAGGAAAUUACAAAAUAAGGUAAAACAGGAAGGGACCUUGUCCUCAUUGGAAAACCUGCACAGGUGGCGUUCUCAUUAUAAAAAUACUCUAAAAUUUAAGAAAUCCCUCUACAGAAAGGAACAAUGGGAGGCACUUGACAAAGCGAUCAAAUUGCGGGAUGACAAAAAGUUCUGGGAAAUAAUUGCCCAGGGAGUUUCACCCAAAGGGAAAAUUGUAACCAACAGUAUCUCAUCUAACUCAUGGUACCAACACUUUUCCCGGCUAUAUACAGCUCCAAACAUUGCUAAACCGAGCCAGUUUCCUCCUCUUAAAAACGAUCUAUUAAUGGGCUGGGAUCCUGUUACCGAAUCAGAAUGUUUACAGCUAAUUAAAACACUCAAGAAUGGCAAAGCUCCCGGUGAGGAUAUGAUUCCUCCUGAGGUAUUUAAACUAAAUGCCCAGUGGUGGGCUGCUAUUUUGGCCCAACUUUUUACGGUAAUAAAUGAUAUAUGCAAAAUCCCAGAAAACUGGAAACUGAGCCUGGUAGCCCCCAUCUAUAAGAAGGGACCCCCAAGACCCCUCAAACUAUCGCCCCAUAAGUCUCCUGGACAUUGUGUAUAAACUUUACACUCGCUACCUGCUAAAUAAACUGGUUGACUGGGCUGACCACUCUAACCUGCUUAAUCCGGAACAGGCAGGGUUUAGAAAGGGCCAUAGUACAACAGGCCAUUGUUUGGUACUACAGACAAUGAUAGAUAAGUAUACAAAGGUACAUAAGAGCAAACUUUUUGUGGCUUUCGUAGAUCUCACAUCCGCUUUUGAUUCAAUCUGUAGGGACAAAUUAUGGCAAAAAUUAUAUGAAACAGAUAUUGAUAGACGACUUCUCAAAAUACUUAGAGAGUUACAUUCAGACACCACAGUUAAAAUCAGAACUGGGAUGUCAGGCAACUAUACUGAUCCACUGCCACUGGGGAAAGGGGUUAAACAGGGCUGUUUGUUAGCGCCGUUCCUCUUUAAUUUCUAUAUAAAUGACAUUGUUCAACAUAUGGCAAAGUAUAAGUCAUCAGCUCCUGCCCUGGAAGGCAAACACCUGAAUAUAUUACUAUAUGCUGAUGACAUGGCUGUCAUGGCACUUACUCGAAGGGGCCUACAUAGCAUGCUGGAGGGGCUCGCAGCUUAUUGUUCCCAAAACUCUCUAAAGAUAAAUUAUGACAAAACAAAAAUUGUGGUAUUUACUAGAGCUCGCCACACAUUUAGAUGGUCUUUAGAUGAACACAAAAUUGAACAGUGUCCUUUUUUUAAAUAUCUUGGUAUCACUUUCCAAGCUACAUCUAGCUGGCUUGCCCACUUCAAGACUGUAGCCCUUCUAACACGUAGGACACUCGGUGCUCUGCUCAGCUUUUUUAUUCGAGGGGAGGGCAACUGGUGAUCCCGGCAUUAAAAGCUUUUGUUGGAAAAGUGAUUCCCCAGAUGCUAUAUGGAGUAGAACUCUGGGGAUGGAAUCAGAAGCUAUUAGAACGGCUUGAAAUCUUCCAAAAUUUUUACCUCAGAAGAAUUCUAGGCCUCCCUCAGAGUACUCCGGCAGCUCUCCUAAGAGUGGAAGUAGGAUUACCUUCUGUGUCUGCCAGGGCCCACUUAAGAUUCCUGCGUUUUUUCACCAACCUCACAGAUGCCCCGAACACCUUAUUGGCUAAACAAGCCUUUGUAUCAUUACAAAAUAAUACUACUUGGCAUAAAAACCUACUAGAUAUCCUAUCCAGAUACAAUCUACCUGAGUUUAAUACCCUUAAAUUGUGGAGCCCUGAUAAAGUUCGGGAAUGGAUCUUUGAAAAAGACGCCUUUUGGACUCCACAAAGAUAAAAACUCUGGGUUUUCCUACUGGUUUCCCCGAGUAAAAGCAGUCAAAAUCUGUGCCAACUACUUGGUGGAGAUCACUGACCCCACCCUUCGGAGAGCUUUCACUAUGGCACGGUUUCAAACACUGCCAACUGCAUAUCUGACCGGUAGAUUCACAAAAACCCCAGUAGAACAUCGUUUAUGCCCUUGCCUUAUGAAAAUUAAAGAGGAUCUUACACAUUACCUCCUCUAUUGCCCCAUCUACUCGAGCUUUAGAGACGCAUUGCUGCAAAUUAUACCCAACUCUAUAACCAAUCCUGAAGAUAGAGUAAAAUUUUUGUUAGUUGAUGCAAACCCACGUAUUACCCAUGUGGUAGCGGUUUUUGUGAUGAAGGCCAUGAAAGCCAGGGAAAGACUUAUGGAUGACAAUGUAAAGACCCCUUCAUCGUCUGUUUAACUCGCUGCUCGUUUUCCCUCUCUUUCUAUUUUGUGGGAUGAAGGUUUUGUUGGCGUAGUAAGUAAUGAAUUUUAAUAUCUUUUAACUAUUGUUGUGUUAAUGUUUGUGUACAGGCAUGGUCCUCACAAUAAACGGAUUACAGCU
Podarcis lilfordi (Lilford's wall lizard) is the source of this 3084-nucleotide non-coding RNA. The record is from the annotation of a GenBank genome assembly. Lineage: Eukaryota; Metazoa; Chordata; Lepidosauria; Squamata; Lacertidae.